This 97-nucleotide transfer RNA is filed under the name Friedmanniomyces endolithicus. RNAcentral's name for it is "tRNA-Glu". Lineage: Eukaryota; Fungi; Ascomycota; Dothideomycetes; Mycosphaerellales; Teratosphaeriaceae. The record is from RNAcentral.
UCCGGUAUGGUGUAUCGGCUAGCAUCGCCCGCUUUCAUCGUUCCCUUCGCCGGGCAUCGAUCCCGGGCAGAGCCGGGUUCGACUCCCGGUACCGGAA